UAUUGGUCAAUGGACGAGAGUCUGAACCAGCCAAGUCGCGUGAAGGAUGACUGCCCUACGGGUUGUAAACUUCUUUUGUAUGGGAGUAAAAAAGGUUACGUGUAACCUAUUGCAAGUACCAUACGAAUAAGCAUCGGCUAACUCCGUGCCAGCAGCCGCGGUAAUACGGAGGAUGCGAGCGUUAUCCGGAUUUAUUGGGUUUAAAGGGUGCGUAGGCGGGAUUAUAAGUCAGCGGUGAAAGUUUGAGGCUCAACCUUAAAAUUGCCGUUGAAACUGUUUUUCUUGAGUAUAUUUGAAGUAGGCGGAAUUCGUGGUGUAGCGGUGAAAUGCAUAGAUAUCACGAAGAACUCCAAUUGCGAAGGCAGCUUACUAAACUAUAACUGACGCUGAAGCACGAAAGCGUGGGUAUCAAACAG
This 416-nucleotide ribosomal RNA is filed under the name uncultured bacterium. RNAcentral describes it as "bacterial SSU rRNA". It matches the Rfam family "Bacterial small subunit ribosomal RNA", at positions 362 to 775 of the family's 1533-position model. The record is from RNAcentral.